AAUAGAUACCCGGGUAGUCCACGCCCUAAACGAUGUCAACUGGUUGUUGGGGAUUUAUUUUCUCAGUAACGAAGCUAACGCGUGAAGUUGACCGCCUGGGGAGUACGGCCGCAAGGUUAAAACUCAAAGGAAUUGACGGGGACCCGCACAAGCGGUGGAUGAUGUUCUUUAAUUCGAUGCAACGCGAAAAACCUUACCCACCUUUGACAUGUACGGAAGUUGCCAGAGAUGGCUUCGUGCUCGAAAGAGAGCCGUAACACAGGUGCUGCAUGGCUGUCGUCAGCUCGUGUCGUGAGAUGUUGGGUUAAGUCCCGCAACGAGCGCAACCCUUGCCAUUAGUUGCUACGAAAGGGCACUCUAAUGGGACUGCCGGUGACAAACCGGAGGAAGGUGGGGAUGACGUCAAGUCCUCAUGGCCCUUAUAGGUGGGGCUAGAAACGUCAUACAAUGGCCGGUACAAAGGGUCGCUAAGCCGCGAGGUGGAGCCAAUCCCAUAAAGCCGGUCGUAGUCCGGAUCGCAGUCUGCAACUCGACUGCGUGAAGUCGGAAUCG
RNAcentral lists this ribosomal RNA (552 nucleotides) under uncultured bacterium. RNAcentral's name for it is "bacterial SSU rRNA". It matches the Rfam family "Bacterial small subunit ribosomal RNA", at positions 777 to 1334 of the family's 1533-position model. The record is from RNAcentral.